ACCAAAACAACCAGGAGGUUGGCUUAGAAGCAGCCAUCCUUUAAAGAAAGCGUAAUAGCUCACUGGUCGAGUCGGUCUGCGCGGAAGAUGUAACGGGGCUAAACUAUGCACCGAAGCUGCGGAUUCAUACUUUGUAUGAGUGGUAGGGGAGCGUUCUGUAAGCGGUUGAAGGUGUACCGGGAGGUAUGCUGGACGUAUCAGAAGUGCGAAUGCUGACAUGAGUAACGAUAAUGCGGGUGAAAAACCCGCACGCCGGAAGACCAAGGGUUCCUAUCCCAUGUUAAUCAGGGUAGGGUAAGUCGACCCCUAAGGCGAGGCCGAAAGGCGUAGUCGAUGGGAAACGGAUUAAUAUUUCCGUACUUGGUAUAAUUGCGAUGGGGGGACGGAGAAGGCUAAGCAAGCAUGGCGAUGGUUGUCCAUGUGAAAGUGAGUAGGGCGUUUGUUUAGGUAAAUCCGGACGAACAUUAAACCUGAGACACGAGACGAGCUACUACGGUAGUGAAGUUGCUGAUGCCAUACUUCCAGGAAAAGCCUCUAAGCUUCAGAUUAUACCGAAUCGUACCCCAAACCGACACAGGUGGUCAGGUAGAGAAUACUAAGGCGCUUGAGAGAACUCGGGUGAAGGAACUAGGCAAAAUCGUACCGUAACUUCGGGAGAAGGUACGCUCCUAUCUGUGAUGAGACUUGCUCUCUAAGCGGACGGGAGCCGCAGUGACCAGGUGGCUGGGACUGUUUAUUAAAAACACAGCACUGUGCAAAAUCGCAAGAUGACGUAUACGGUGUGACACCUGCCCGGUGCCGGAAGGUUAAUUGAUGGGGUUAUCUUCGGAGAAGCUCUUGAUCGAAGCCCCGGUAAACGGCGGCCGUAACAAUAACGGUCCUAAGGUAGCGAAAUUCCUUGUCGGGUAAGUUCCGACCUGCACGAAUGGUGCAACGAUCUGGGCACUGUCUCAGCCAUGAGCUCGGUGAAAUUGUAGUCUCGGUGAAGAUGCCGGGUACCCGCAAUGGGACGAAAAGACCCCGUGAACCUUCACUACAACUUAGUAUUGACUUCGGAUAAACAAUGUGUAGGAUAGGUGGGAGACGUUGAGGCAGCAUCGCUAGGUGUUGUGGAGUCGUCCUUGAAAUACCACCCUUGUAGUUUUGAUGUUCUAACGUUGGCCCCUGAAUCGGGGUUACGGACAGUGCCUGGUGGGUAGUUUGACUGGGGCGGUCUCCUCCCAAAGAGUAACGGAGGAGCACGAAGGUUGGCUAAGUACGGUCGGACAUCGUACGGUUAGUGUAAUGGUAGAAGCCAGCUUAACUGCGAGACAGACACGUCGAGCAGGUACGAAAGUAGGUCAUAGUGAUCCGGUGGUUCUGAAUGGAAGGGCCAUCGCUCAACGG
This 1386-nucleotide ribosomal RNA is filed under the name Dinophysis acuminata. RNAcentral's name for it is "partial Bacterial large subunit ribosomal RNA". It matches the Rfam family "Bacterial large subunit ribosomal RNA", at positions 1083 to 2455 of the family's 2925-position model. The record is from RNAcentral. Lineage: Eukaryota; Dinophyceae; Dinophysales; Dinophysaceae.